Physeter macrocephalus (sperm whale) is the source of this 5447-nucleotide RNA transcript. It is a transcript of the gene named NACHT, LRR and PYD domains-containing protein 12, with no coding region annotated. The transcript has 14 exons. NCBI's taxonomy places the organism in Eukaryota, Metazoa, Chordata, Mammalia, Artiodactyla, Physeteridae. The record is from RefSeq and is a predicted model, not a curated record.
GCACACCUAGUUGUGCCAUCCUCAGCCAAAGCCCACCAGAUCCAUCCUGUAAAGUCACACGCCUGAAUCUUCUUGAUUUGCCAGGAUGAACAGUCAAAAGAAACGAAAAGAUAUGGAACCUGCUUGCACCUGGAGCUUAUUGUCUGAACAGAAAGCUGCUUCAAGUUCUCUGGCUUCAUUUUCAUGGAAGGAGCUUACAGAUUACAGGAAAGUAUUUAGAAAACAUCUAAAAGAAAAAUACCUAAAAAAAGGAGUUGACAAAUGUUAUCACCAUGGCAAGCAUAUAGAGUCACGACUGCUUGUUGUAAAAGAACACUGUAUAUCAGAAAAGCCACCAUGCGGAAUUCCUCAACAAAAUAAUUUUAUUGAGAUGGAACAUAUAUUUGAUCCUGAUGAAGAGGGCUCCAGCUUAUCCCAAACUGUGGUGCUUCAGGGAUGUGCUGGGAUUGGGAAAACAGCUGUGGUGCAUAAGUUCAUGUUUGACUGGGCAGCAGGAAUGGUUACUCCAGGCAGAUUUGACUAUCUCAUCUAUGUAAACUGCAGAGAAAUAAGCCGUUUUGCUAACCUUAGUGCUGCUGACCUGAUCACUAACACUUUUCAAGAUAUAGACGGACCAAUCCUGGAUGUUAUUCUUGUAUAUCCAGAGAAGCUUCUGUUCAUUCUUGAUGGAUUUCCUGAGCUUCAGUACCCUGUAGGUGACCAGGAAGAGGAUCUUAGUGCCAAUCCCCUGGAGAGGAAGCCAGUAGAGACCCUCUUAUGUAGUUUCGUGAGGAAAAAACUGUUUCCUGAAUCCUCCCUCCUGAUAACUGCCCGGCCUACAACCAUGAAGAAGCUUCACUCUCUGUUAAAACAAGCUACCCAGGCAGAGAUCCUGUGGUUUACAGAUGCUGAAAAAAGAGCAUAUUUCUUGAGUCAGUUUUCAGGUGCUAAUGCUGCAAUGAGAGUUUUUUAUGGUCUGCGAGAAAAUGAAGGCCUUGACAUUAUGUCUUCUCUUCCCAUCAUCUCCUGGAUGAUCUGCAGUGUCCUGCAGUCACAGGGAGAUGGUGACAGGACUCUUAUGAGAUCACUUCAAACCAUGACUGAUGUGUAUCUGUUCUACUUUUCCAAGUGCCUCAAAACCCUUACAGGCAUCUCGGUGUGGAAGGGACAGAGUUGCCUGUGGGGCCUUUGCUCUUUGGCUGCAGAGGGACUGCAGAACCAGCAGGUCCUGUUUGAAAUCAGUGACCUCAGAAGACAUGGGAUAGGAGUGUAUGAUACCAACUGCACUUUUCUCAAUCACUUUUUGAAAAAAGUUGAAGGAGGUGUCAGUGUCUAUACUUUCCUUCACUUCAGUUUCCAAGAGUUCCUGACUGCUGUGUUCUAUGCCCUGAAGAAUGACAGCAGCUGGAUGUUUUUUGAUCAAGUGGGGAAAACGUGGCAAGAAAUAUUCCAACAAUAUGGAAAAGGGUUUUCAUCAUUAACAAUACAGUUCUUAUUUGGCCUCUUACAUAAAGGAAAGGGAAAGUCUGUGGAAACUACUUUUGGGAGAAAAGUCUCUCCAGGACUUCGAGAGGAGUUAUUGAAGUGGACUGAGAAAGAAAUAAACGAUAAAUCUUCUAGGUUACAGAUUGAGCCAAUGGACUUGUUUCACUGUUUGUAUGAGAUUCAGGAAGAAGAAUAUGCAAAAAGGAUAAUUGAUGAUUUAGGGUCAAUUAUACUGCUUCAACCUACCUAUACAAAAAUGGACAUUCUGGCUAUGUCAUUCUGUGUAAAAAGCAGUCAUAGUCACCUGUCAGUGUCUCUGAAGUGUCAGCAUCUACUUGGAUUUGAGGAGGAAGAUCGAGCUUCAGCAUUCAUGCCACCAACCUUGACACUUAAUCAGCCCUUCCAGCUGCGUAAUUGGCCAGUCUCUCCACUCCACUUGCUCUGCCAAGCACUGCGUAACCCAUACUGUAAAGUCAAAGACCUGAAACUGAUUUUCUGCCACCUCACAGCUUCUUAUGGCAGAGACCUCGCCUUAGUAUUUGAAACCAACCAAUAUCUGACAGAUUUGGAAUUUGUGAAAAAUACCCUGGAAGAUUCCGGAAUGAAGCUUCUGUGUGAAGGAUUAAAACAGCCAAAUUGUAUCUUACAGACAUUGAGGUUGUACCGAUGCCUUAUCUCUCCUGCUUCUUGUGGUGCGCUAGCGGCUGUUCUCAGCACCAAUCAGUGGCUCACUGAGCUGGAAUUUAGUGAAACAAAACUGGAAGCUUCAGCUUUGAAAUUGCUCUGUGAAGGCUUAAAAGAUCCAAAUUGCAAAGUACAGAAGCUCAAGUUGUGUGCUAGCUUUCUCCCUGGAAGCUCAGAGACUAUUUGCAGAUAUCUUGCCUCUGUUCUCAUUUGCAAUCCAAACCUCACUGAGCUGGACCUGAGUGAAAAUCCCCUGGGGGACACAGGGGUGAAGUAUCUUUGUGAGGGUCUCAGACAUUCCAACUGUAAAGUAGAGAAACUAGACUUGAGCACAUGUUACCUAACAGAUGCUAGCUGUGUGGAGCUCUCUUCUUUCUUGCAAGUGAGUCAGACUUUAAAAGAGCUGUUUGUGUUUGCCAAUGCCCUGGGGGACACAGGAGUACAGCAUCUCUGUGAAGGUCUGCGGCAUGCAAAUGGUAUAAUCGAGAAUCUUGUGCUUUCCGAAUGUUCCCUCUCUGCAGCUUGUUGUGAGUCCCUCGCCCAAGUCCUGAGCUCUACCCGGAGCCUGACAAGGCUGCUUCUAAUUAAUAACAAAAUUGAAGAUUUGGGACUGAAAUUGCUGUGUGAAGGAUUAAAACAGCCUGACUGUCAGUUAAAGGAUCUGGCACUGUGGACCUGUCACCUGACUGGAGAGUGUUGUCAGGAUUUGUGCAAUGCACUGUACACCAAUGAACACCUACGAGUUCUUGACCUCAGCGACAAUGCCUUAGGGGACGAGGGCAUGCAGGUGCUGUGUGAAGGGCUGAAACACCCCUCCUGCAAGCUACAGACCUUGUGGCUAGCAGAAUGUCAUCUCACAGAUGCAUGCUGUGGAGCACUCGCCUCUGUCCUCAACAGAAAUGAGAACCUAACGUUGCUAGACUUAAGUGGAAAUGACCUUAAGGAUUUCGGAGUUCAAAUGCUGUGUGAUGCACUGAUUCAUCCAAUAUGUAAACUACAAACGUUCUAGCCAACCUUCAAACCCUUGUAAUUUGUCAAUCUACAAGUUGAUAGCAGUGUGCAGUAGUAGCUCAAAAUACAAAAUAAAGGACACACACACACGCACACACAGAGUAGACACCAUUCACUGACCUCAAAUAAAUUUUGAACAUUAGAGUGGAUAUAAGACAGAUAACACUGAAAUCAAUAGAAAUAUGUACUUGCCCAAGUAAAGUGAGAGGAAACUGUUGAUCAUUUAAUGUGGUGGUGGGCUAGAGAGGGGAUAAAUCCAGGAGAGCCUCCUAAAAGGGGAGUCUUGUCUGAGAAUUGGAAAGGCUGAUGGAAGAAGAUUGUUUUCUAAGAGCUGCUUCAGUGUGAGGUCUGAAUCUUAUUCCUCAUUGUAUUUUCCCCCAUAAACUUUCUAGUUCAGUGCUUUGCGUUUAGUAAAUGCAUAUAGGAAACCAGUUAUUAAUUGAGAGCAUCCGGGGGCAAGGCAAGGAGACAGUUGAUGAUAUGUUCAAUAAAGACUAGGUAUCUAGACCUUCAGAAGAUUGAGGGGAAAAAAAGAGGCUGUGGCCUCAAAGUGACAGUGCUCACCUCCACUCAUUCUCCAAGCACUUGCUGAAUAUCUGCUAUGUGCCAGGCAAAUGUGCCAGGUGCUGGGAGACAAGAAUGAGUAAGAUGAGAGACAUGAUUUGUACUCUUUAGGGACCAGUGGACCUAGUGGUAGAGACAGGCACAUAAACUGAUGAAUGCAGUAGGGUAAUCAUGAAAUCUUAAGGGAACCAUGGCAGGAGACAACUCACCCAGCCCAGGAGGCUCAGGGAAAGAUUCCUGGAGGAAGGGCCACCUGAGUUGAGUCUCGGGACUGUAGCCAGGGACAUGGGGGUAAGGAUGGAGAAGGGUAGUCCAUGCUCAGGAGAUAGCAUGAGCAAAGGUAGACAGACAAUAAGCAGCAUGUUUUGUGGUACUUGAGGGGGAUAGAGGUGGGAAACCUCUAGGAAGUUCGCUAUUGUUAGAGCAUAAAGUGCAAAGCAGAAUGUGUCAAGAAAUGAGACUGAGGGGGUAGGCAAGGCCUUGUAUGCCAUGUGUGAUUAGUAAGAUCUGUUUGCAGAAUUCCGGGUUCGAAUUCAGUUGUCACUCUUCUCUUUCACAUAUCUGAGUAGUAGUACAUUUGGGGGCCUUUCCUCACCUUUCCAAAACUGGUUCCAAAGAUGGAGCCAGUUUUGCUUCCAAAGCUGGUUGGAGAAUCAGUCCACUGCUACUGCUGUUUCUUACUGCCACAUGGGGCUCAUCUUGAGAACUGAUGAUCCUACCCAGUCCCACAGAAGCUUGGUGACUAGACGGUGAUACCCUGGCUGGUGUGGAUCCCUCCCAGCCCUGCAGUGCCGUCAUACUUGGACUCCGAGGUUACAUAUAUUUUAGUGCACACCCAAAUGUGCAGUCAUUGUUCUCUAAAGUACCAUAUGUGUCCAAGUGUCUGGGUCUAGAAGAGCUCUUUGAAUCAGCCACAGGUAUGUAUGUGUGAAGCCAGACCUUGCCCACAAAGAUGUAGGCCCCUGAGUUGAGUCAGGAGCCCCACUUAAGCCUUCUUCUUUCUUCAAGAUAUUUUAUUUUUGGUGCCUUGGUGCCUUUCCCAGGCACUGGGCCUUGGAUAAAGCCCCCUAGAUCACCCUGACACACGUUCCUAAUUCUAAAUUUGGAAAGAAGGGGUUGAGAGUGAGAGUAGGUGGUCUCUUAACUCCCGGAAGACCUCCAGGCUUCCUAAGCAUAUUGACCUGCCUCUUCUCCAGCAGUGAGUCAUACAUGUCAGGAGGUAAGACAGCUUUUGCUAAGUCACUCAAAAAAUUCUAAAGUUCUUGUUACACUUCCAUGGCAUUAAAUGUCUACUUACCCUACAAUUGCAUAACUAGCAGGGCUACUCAUUUCACUUUGCUAGAUAAAGAUUAGCUUCUAUCUAUUAAAAACUAAAAACUGUACCUCACUACACACUUGAAUGAGUUUAUACCUUCUUUUGUAGUCAGUAGGUUUUAAUCAGGGAUACACAUGUGGAGUUUGAAGUGCCUGCAGGACAUUGUGGGAAGUUUUCUAGUAGGUAACAGUUGGAUAUAGGAGUGUUCCCUGGAGGUGAUAGCUGAAGCCAUGGCAAUGGAUGAGAUCCUCUAGGGAGAAUGAGAAGAGAAGAACCUCUGAGGAACAUCUCUUGGGAAUUAGCCCUGGGCAGUACCAACUUUUAAGAGCAUUGACACGGAUCAUUUACAUGAAGAAACAUUCAGAAAAAUAGAAGCUUUAAAAAUGAGCAAGCCUGGAAUCACCUGGUA